This 253-nucleotide ribosomal RNA is filed under the name uncultured bacterium. RNAcentral's name for it is "partial 16S ribosomal RNA". It matches the Rfam family "Bacterial small subunit ribosomal RNA", at positions 524 to 776 of the family's 1533-position model. The record is from RNAcentral.
UACGUAGGCAGCGAGCGUUGUUCGGAGUUACUGGGCGUAAAGGGUGUGUAGGCGGUUGUUUAAGUUUGGUGUGAAAUCUCCCGGCUCAACUGGGAGGUGCGCCGAAUACUGAAUGACUUGGAGUGCGGGAGAGGAAAGUGGAAUUCCUGGUGUAGCGGUGAAAUGCGUAGAUAUCAGGAAGAACACCCGUGGCGAAGGCGGCUCUCUGGUACGUGACUGACGCUGAGACGCGAAAGCGUGGGGAGCAAACAGG